CUGAUUUCAAGUCAACCACAUAACCACUCUGUCAUUUUCUUUAU
This 44-nucleotide transfer RNA is filed under the name Eumicrotremus spinosus (Atlantic spiny lumpsucker). RNAcentral's name for it is "partial transfer RNA-Ser". Lineage: Eukaryota; Metazoa; Chordata; Actinopteri; Perciformes; Cyclopteridae. The record is from RNAcentral.